Molecule: ribosomal RNA, 301 nt
Filed under: uncultured bacterium
Lineage: Bacteria
Description: partial 16S ribosomal RNA
Rfam family: Bacterial small subunit ribosomal RNA
Source: RNAcentral
CAGCAGCCGCGGGAAUACGAAGGGUGCAAGCGUUAAUCGGAAUUACUGGGCGUAAGGCGUGCGUAGGCGGUGAGUUAAGUCUGCUGUGAAAUCCCCGGGCUCAACCUGGGAAUGGCAGUGGAUACUGGCUCGCUAGAGUGUGUCAGAGGAUGGUGGAAUUCCCGGUGUAGCGGUGAAAUGCGUAGAGAUCGGGAGGAACAUCAGUGGCGAAGGCGGCCAUCUGGGACAACACUGACGCUGAGGCACGAAAGCGUGGGGAGCAAACAGGAUUAGAUACCCCAGUAGUCCCUGUCUCUUAUAA